CUAAGCAUAUCAAUAAGCGGAGGAAAAGAAACCAACAGGGAUUGCCCUAGUAACGGCGAGUGAAGCGGCAACAGCUCAAAUUUGAAAUCUGGCGUCUUUGGCGUCCGAGUUGUAAUUUGCAGAGGGCGCUUUGGCAUUGGCAGCGGUCCAAGUUCCUUGGAACAGGACGUCACAGAGGGUGAGAAUCCCGUACGUGGUCGCUAGCCUUUACCGUGUAAAGCCCCUUCGACGAGUCGAGUUGUUUGGGAAUGCAGCUCUAAAUGGGAGGUAAAUUUCUUCUAAAGCUAAAUACUGGCCAGAGACCGAUAGCGCACAAGUAGAGUGAUCGAAAGAUGAAAAGCACUUUGGAAAGAGAGUUAAAAAGCACGUGAAAUUGUUGAAAGGGAAGCGCUUGCAGCCAGACUUGCCUGUAGUUGCUCAUCCGGGUUUCUACCCGGUGCACUCUUCUAUAGGCAGGCCAGCAUCAGUUUGGGCGGUUGGAUAAAGGUCUCUGUCAUGUACCUCCUUUCGGGGAGAACUUAUAGGGGAGACGACAUGCAACCAGCCUGGACUGAGGUCCGCGCAUCUGCUAGGAUGCUGGCGUAAUGGCUGUAAGCGGCCCGUCUUGAAACACGGACCAAGGAGUCUAACAUCUAUGCGAGUGUUUGGGUGUCAAGCCCGAGCGCGUAAUGAAAGUGAACGGAGGUGGGAACCUUUCGGGGUGCACCAUCGACCGAUCCUGAUGUCUUCGGAUGGAUUUGAGUAAGAGCAUAGCUGUUGGGACCCGAAAGAUGGUGAACUAUGCUUGAAUAGGGUGAAGCCAGAGGAAACUCUGGUGGAGGCUCGCAGCGGUUCUGACGUGCAAAUCGAUCGUCAAAUUUGGGCAUAGGGGCGAAAGACUAAUCGAACUAUCUAGUAGCUGGUUCCUGCCGA
This 912-nucleotide ribosomal RNA is filed under the name Coniothyrium pyrinum. RNAcentral's name for it is "partial large subunit ribosomal RNA". It matches the Rfam family "Eukaryotic large subunit ribosomal RNA", at positions 34 to 964 of the family's 3401-position model. The record is from RNAcentral. Lineage: Eukaryota; Fungi; Ascomycota; Dothideomycetes; Pleosporales; Coniothyriaceae.